UACGUAGGGUGCGAGCGUUAAUCGGAAUUACUGGGCGUAAAGCGGGCGCAGACGGUUACUUAAGCAGGAUGUGAAAUCCCCGGGCUCAACCUGGGAACUGCGUUCUGAACUGGGUGACUAGAGUGUGUCAGAGGGAGGUAGAAUUCCACGUGUAGCAGUGAAAUGCGUAGAGAUGUGGAGGAAUACCGAUGGCGAAGGCAGCCUCCUGGGAUAACACUGACGUUCAUGCCCGAAAGCGUGGGUAGCAAAC
RNAcentral lists this ribosomal RNA (250 nucleotides) under uncultured bacterium. RNAcentral's name for it is "partial 16S ribosomal RNA". It matches the Rfam family "Bacterial small subunit ribosomal RNA", at positions 524 to 773 of the family's 1533-position model. The record is from RNAcentral.